RNAcentral lists this ribosomal RNA (253 nucleotides) under uncultured bacterium. Its description in RNAcentral is "partial 16S ribosomal RNA". It matches the Rfam family "Bacterial small subunit ribosomal RNA", at positions 524 to 776 of the family's 1533-position model. The record is from RNAcentral.
UACGUAGGGUGCGAGCGUUAAUCGGAAUUACUGGGCGUAACGCGUGCGCAGGCGGUUUUGUAAGCCAGAUGUGAAAGCCCCGGGCUUAACCUGGGAAUGGCAUUUGGGACUGCAAGGCUUGAGUGCGGCAGAGGAGACUGGAAUUCCUGGUGUAGCAGUGAAAUGCGUAGAUAUCAGGAGGAAUACCGAUGGCGAAGGCAGGUCUCUGGGCUGACACUGACGCUCAUGCACGAAAGCGUGGGGAGCAAACAGG